This 429-nucleotide ribosomal RNA is filed under the name Acidobacteriota bacterium. Its description in RNAcentral is "Acidobacteria bacterium partial 16S ribosomal RNA". It matches the Rfam family "Bacterial small subunit ribosomal RNA", at positions 355 to 776 of the family's 1533-position model. The record is from RNAcentral. Lineage: Bacteria; Pseudomonadati; Acidobacteriota.
UGGGGAAUUUUGGACAAUUGGGGAAACCCUGAUUCAGCCAUCCCGCGUGUGCGAUGAAGGCCUUCGGGUUGUAAAGCACUUUUGGCAGGAAAGAAACGUCAUGGGUUAAUACCCCGUGAAACUGACGGUACCUGCAGAAUAAGCACCGGCUAACUACGUGCCAGCAGCCGCGGUAAUACGUAGGGUGCAAGCGUUAAUCGGAAUUACUGGGCGUAAAGCGUGCGCGGGCGGUUCGGAAAGAAAGAUGUGAAAUCCCAGAGCUCAACUUUGGAAAUGCAUUUUUAACUACCGGGCUAGAGUGUGUCAGAGGGAGGUUGAAUUCCGCGUGUAGCAGUGAAAUGCGUAGAUAUGCGGAGGAACACCGAUGACGAAGGCAGCCUCCUGUGAUAACACUGACGCUCAUGCACGAAAGCGUGGGGAGCAAACAGG